Molecule: long non-coding RNA, 262 nt
Filed under: Lathyrus oleraceus (garden pea)
Lineage: Eukaryota; Viridiplantae; Streptophyta; Magnoliopsida; Fabales; Fabaceae
Description: Pisum sativum (pea) long non-coding RNA (PSAT_LNC016832)
Source: RNAcentral
UCAAACCUCAUUCAUCUUUUGUUCCCAAAAUCACUUUAUCUCACAUAGACAUCAUCGGGAUGAUCCCCUACAAGCAUUACCAUGUGGUUAUCAAUGUCUAGAUGUUUCUUUAGAACAUAGAAGUUGUUGGGGGAGAAUAUGGUAGUUGAAUGGUCUAGAAUAUGAGGCUUAAUAGACUGUUCCCAAAAGGCCAAUUUAAAAAAUAUAUGCAUUUCAAAAUUAUAGUUAAAAAAAAUGUUCAAUACAUCAAAAAAAUUACAAU